Non-coding RNA from Marasmius sp. AFHP31, 95 nucleotides. Lineage: Eukaryota; Fungi; Basidiomycota; Agaricomycetes; Agaricales; Marasmiaceae. The record is from the annotation of a GenBank genome assembly.
GGCGAGAUGGCCGAGCGGUCUAAGGCGCUAGAAUCAGGCUCAUCCGAUCCAACAUCUAGUCCUCCGGGGCGUGGGUUCGAAUCCCACUCUCGUCA